Molecule: ribosomal RNA, 406 nt
Filed under: uncultured bacterium
Lineage: Bacteria
Description: partial 16S ribosomal RNA
Rfam family: Bacterial small subunit ribosomal RNA
Source: RNAcentral
AGUGAACGCUGGCGGCAGGCCUAACACAUGCAAGUCGAACGAGUGGCGGCCGGGUGAGGAAUACAUCGGAAUCUACUCUGUCGUGGGGGUUAACGUAGGGAAACUUACGCUAAUACCGCAUACGAUUGAAUGAGCCGAUGUCGGAUUAGCUAGUUGGUGGGGUAAAGGCCUAACAAGGCGACGAUCCGUAACUGGUCUGAGAGGAUGAUCAGUCACACUGGAACUGAGACACGGGCCAGACUCCUACGUGAGGCAGCAGUGGGGAAUAUUGGACAAUGGGCGAAAGGCUGAUCCAGCCAUGCCGCGUGUGUGAAGAAGGUCUUCGGAUUGUAAAGCACUUUAAGUUGGGAGGCGUUACCCGCAGAAGAAGCACCGGCUAACUCCGUGCCAGCAGCCGCGGUAAUAC